RNAcentral lists this unclassified non-coding RNA (301 nucleotides) under Hevea brasiliensis (rubber tree). Lineage: Eukaryota; Viridiplantae; Streptophyta; Magnoliopsida; Malpighiales; Euphorbiaceae. The record is from RNAcentral.
AAAUGCUGAACUUUUUUCAUAGUUGAAUUUGUCAUUAUCUAUACCUUAUCAUCACAAUGGGCAUUGAAUUGGUUGUUGCAGGUUUUAAAAUUUCUCUAGUGUGAUGGAGUGAAAGUGCUUGAAAGAUUCAGUUCAUGGAAGACAGACAGAGAGGUAUAUGUUAGUUGUCAUUUGGUUUUGUCUGUCAUUAUUUACCUUUUUAUUUUUUUGUUUGUUUUGGAGAACCUUUUGCUAGGAGAGUUGUGAAGGAUUUGAAUUGUAUUUUGUUAGGAGUGAAGAGAGAGAAAGACAUUUGUAUAGG